Molecule: ribosomal RNA, 254 nt
Filed under: uncultured bacterium
Lineage: Bacteria
Description: partial 16S ribosomal RNA
Rfam family: Bacterial small subunit ribosomal RNA
Source: RNAcentral
GACGUAGGGUGCAAGCGUUAUCCGGAUUCAUUGGGCGUAAAGAGUUGCGUAGGCGGUCCGAUGCAUUUCACUUGAAAGCCUUAGGCUCAACCUAAGAUUCGGGUGAAAUAUGAUCGGACUUGAAGGAUAAAGAGGGUGCUGGAACUGAUUAUGUAGCAGUGAAAUGCGUUGAUAUGAUCAGGAACACCAAAGGCGUAGGCAGGCACCUGGGUAUCCCUUGACGCUGAGGCACGAAAGCCUGGGGAGCGAAGCAG